UCCAUUGGUUGGAGUCUCCCUCUUGCUCUGUGCGCUGCAAAAAGUGUCUAUCUUUAUAGAUGGGCUUGCUUAAAUCACGUUUUCUUUCUGGGGGGGCGGGGGGGUCCAGUUAUUUCUAAUAUAAGGAUGUUUAUUUUCAAUACGCUUAGAUGACACCAUUCAUUUGUUUAUUUUAUUUUAUCAACACAAAUGUUCCUUCUAAAGGACGUCUCAUUUUAUUUAUUUAUGUAUUUAUUAGUAUUAUUUUUUACUCAUCUAUUGGACAAAUUCAUCACUUCCACCGAAGCGUCUCAAUCUUCCGUGAUUGUGGACAUUUUUUGCAGCGUUGCCAUCUCACCACUGGGGGCUCUCUUUUUCUUCUUUUUUAUUUUCUGUAUUUUUGACAGCCACAAUUUACAUGGACCUCGCUCACUCCUUCGCCGCUAUUUACUUUGAAACCUGAUUAGUAUGGCUCGUCCAUUGUGGCCAAAAGGGAGACAGACGUAGGAAGAACCCCCGGAUAGAAAACGUGCAGGAAAAAAAAAAAAAAAAGGCUGGGGGGUGACAAAGCUUUUACGCACGCCAAAUAAUCCACUCAAAUUGCGGGACGGAAGUGGUGGUCUUGGACUGGUGUCUUUAUUCCAAAAUGUGUCAUGCUUAGGAUGGAAGCUCGUGCAUGUGUGGGAGCUUCGGCAUGCAUGCGCAUUGCGGUACACGCGCUGGAGAAACGCUCCGGUGUAGCUGAUUGAAACUUACAUUGUGCCGUGAAAGAAACACGUGAGGAUGCAAUUAGAAGAAUUCUGCAUUCAAACAACGCGUGUUAACAAAAAUGGCAUGCAAAGAUGUCAUCAUAAAGAGAGGAAAAAAAGGGGGGGGGGGGAAUACAGCAAUUAGCCGGGUCCCUUCUUGUGACUAAUGACAUAGCCGGUGUCACAUAAUGUCUUCAUAAUGACGCUCAUUGACAAUCAUGUGAACUUAUUUGGGGAAUUUGCAUGGGGAUUCCGGCUUUUUGUGUGAGGAUUUCUGCAGGCUUUCUCCCCCUGUGAGUCGGAAAAAAAAUGGAUCGCGCUGCCAUCUAGCGUACAUUGUACAAUUACAACCUCCAUAGGAGCCAAUGCACGAGUAUGAAAGAUUGAUUUUUAAGAGCAGAUUUUAACUUGGUGCUUUUCAAAGCUCUCACGAAUAAUAAACAUCUAACUGGUCAUGUCUGUAACAUUAAUAGUAUGAAUGAUAGAAUUGCGAAAUUGUAGUAAAGAUGAGUCAAAAGAACACGCAAGAAUAUAUGAAUACUAAUAUUUGUGUCUUUGACAUGGAAAGAGAAAAUCAUAUUUAAUACAACUGCACAGCGCGGCAGAAUCCUAUCAGUUAUUAUAAUCAGUUUUCAUUGGAAAUAAAUAAAUGAACUCUUAAAUGGAAGUCCUUGCACAGAAUUCUUUAGCACGCGGGCAUAUUUGUGUAUAAAUGGAGCUUAAAUAUGCAAGUGACCCUCUUUGGAAGCUCACAGGAGGGAUGGCGUGUUUUUUCCCCUUUCUUUAAAGUAUUCAACAAGAGAGCUCCCUCUCCUUGUCUCCUUCUCGGACAACUCCAAUGAAAACUCCCCGGCCAUGUCUGCAGCUCUUUCAAAAGGGGUACCGCGCGCAGGACGGGAGGCGAGCACACACGGAGGGGCAGCGAAUGGGGAGCAGAGCUGGGGGAAAGAAAAAAGGGAGAAAGUGGACCACAGUGGGGUAUUAGGGGGAGAAGCACCGUCGAUGGCGGUUUGCGUGGAGCACCGGCUUCCCGGCACAAGCAAAAAAAAAAA
This is a long non-coding RNA of Syngnathus acus (greater pipefish), 1780 nucleotides long. RefSeq lists it as uncharacterized. The record is from RefSeq and is a predicted model, not a curated record. The transcript has 2 exons. NCBI's taxonomy places the organism in Eukaryota, Metazoa, Chordata, Actinopteri, Syngnathiformes, Syngnathidae.